This 196-nucleotide unclassified non-coding RNA is filed under the name uncultured Exophiala. Its description in RNAcentral is "sequence contains ITS2". The record is from RNAcentral. Lineage: Eukaryota; Fungi; Ascomycota; Eurotiomycetes; Chaetothyriales; Herpotrichiellaceae.
UCACCCCUCAAGCCCCCCUUCUUAACUGAAACUGGCUUGGUGUUGGACGGUCUGGUGUCGGCAACGUCACCCCUCCCAAAGACAAUGACGGCGGCUUCGUGAGACCCCCGGUACACUGAGUUCCUCACCGAACACGUACUGGAUCACGGGUAGACGGGGCCCCGGUCGACCCUCCCCCAGGGGAGAAUCUUUCUCA